CAACUCUACGAGUAGAGCGGCGCACGGGUGAGUAACACGUAGGUAACCUGCCUUCGAGACUGGGAUAACCUGUCGAAAGACGGGCUAAUACCGGAUAAGACCACUGGGGUUGCGGCUCCGGGGGUAAAAUGGUGGCCUCUGCUUGCAAGCUACCACUCGAAGAUGGGCCUGCGCGCCAUUAGCUUGUUGGCGGGGUAACGGCCCACCAAGGCAAAGAUGGCUAGCUGGUCUGAGAGGAUGGCCAGCCACACUGGGACUGAGACACGGCCCAGACUCCUACGGGAGGCAGCAGUGGGGAAUAUUGCGCAAUGGGCGAAAGCCUGACGCAGCGACGCCGCGUGGGUGAUGAAGGCCUUCGGGUCGUAAAGCCCUGUCGGGGGGGACGAAACCUCGGCGACCGAAUACGUCGUCGACCUGACGGUACCUCCUAAGGAAGCACCGGCUAACUCCGUGCCAGCAGCCGCGGUAAUACGGAGGGUGCAAGCGUUGUUCGGAAUCACUGGGCGUAAAGCGCGUGUAGGCGGUCGCUUAAGUCUGAUGUGAAAGCCCGGGGCUUACCCCCGGAAGGGCAUUGGAGACUGGGCAACUAGAGUACCGGAGAGGAGGGUGGAAUUCCUGGUGUAGCGGUGAAAUGCGUAGAUAUCAGGAGGAACACCGGUGGCGAAGGCGGCCCUCUGGACGGAUACUGACGCUGAGACGCGAAAGCGUGGGGAG
Molecule: ribosomal RNA, 714 nt
Filed under: uncultured Pseudomonadota bacterium
Lineage: Bacteria; Pseudomonadati; Pseudomonadota
Description: bacterial SSU rRNA
Rfam family: Bacterial small subunit ribosomal RNA
Source: RNAcentral